RNAcentral lists this non-coding RNA (30 nucleotides) under Homo sapiens (human). The record is from RNAcentral. Lineage: Eukaryota; Metazoa; Chordata; Mammalia; Primates; Hominidae.
UCCUGGACUCAAGGUGGUGCUUUCUGCUGU